AAUAUUUGUCAAUGGAGGCAACUCUGAACCAGCCACGUCGCGUGAAGGAUGACGGNCCNNUGGGUNGNAAACAUCUUUUAUACNNNNNUAAAGUGAGCCACGAGUGGCUUUUUGCAUGUACUGGAUGAACAAGGAUCGGCUAACUCAGUGCCAGAAGCCGCGGUAAUACGGAGGAUCCAAGCGUUAUCCGGAUUUAUUGGGUUUAAAGGGUGCGCAGGCGGAAGAUUAAGUCAGCGGUGAAAUUUUGCAGCUCAACUGUAAAAGUGCCUUCGAAACUGGGUUCCUUGAGUGUAGAUGAAGUAGGCGGAAUUUGUGGUGUAGCGGUGAAAUGCAUAGAUAUCACGAGGAACUCCGAUUGCGCAGGCAGCUUACUAAGCUACUACUGACGCUCAGGCACGAGGGCGUGGGGAGCAAACAGG
RNAcentral lists this ribosomal RNA (419 nucleotides) under uncultured bacterium. RNAcentral describes it as "partial 16S ribosomal RNA". It matches the Rfam family "Bacterial small subunit ribosomal RNA", at positions 360 to 776 of the family's 1533-position model. The record is from RNAcentral.